Lonchura striata (white-rumped munia) is the source of this 449-nucleotide long non-coding RNA. RefSeq lists it as uncharacterized. The record is from RefSeq and is a predicted model, not a curated record. NCBI's taxonomy places the organism in Eukaryota, Metazoa, Chordata, Aves, Passeriformes, Estrildidae.
GAUAAACAGCUCCACUUUGCAUCAUCUCUGCUGUAGCAGUACAUGAGUUGCAGUUUGUAUUCUGUCUGUAAUCUGUCCUGUUGUUUACUGGCCAGUCAUAAGGCCCAGCUGGCAGGUCACCUGAUUUCCGUCUGCCUCCCUUUUAAAGCUACUGAAAAUCUGUCCCUGCUCAUUUGAAAAGUGGUUUCAUCUCACUUUGAAAAUGUUUGCUUAGCUCCAAUGUGUGCCAUCCUUAAAAUACCAUGGUGUGUACAGAAGGACAUACCAUGCUUUGUACUGAGGAUUUGUUCUCAGUAAUGAGACCCAACUGGCAGUGUGGCUGCACAGGCGGGAGUGCUGGUGCAAGGGAGAGGAUGGGAACACAUGGCCAGUAAGGAAUUGCUCCGUGGCUUUGAGUGGCUGACUGUGAAGCCAGGGUCUACAUUGAAUAAUGAAUAAACAAUAGUUGA